RNAcentral lists this ribosomal RNA (715 nucleotides) under uncultured Limnohabitans sp. Its description in RNAcentral is "bacterial SSU rRNA". It matches the Rfam family "Bacterial small subunit ribosomal RNA", at positions 8 to 722 of the family's 1533-position model. Lineage: Bacteria; Pseudomonadati; Pseudomonadota; Betaproteobacteria; Burkholderiales; Comamonadaceae. The record is from RNAcentral.
AGAGUUUGAUCCUGGCUCAGAUUGAACGCUGGCGGAAUGCUUUACACAUGCAAGUCGAACGGUAGAGGGGGCAACCCCUUGAGAGUGGCGAACGGGUGAGUAAUAUAUCGGAACGUGCCCAGUCGUGGGGGAUAACGUAGCGAAAGUUACGCUAAUACCGCAUACGAUCUAAGGAUGAAAGCGGGGGAUCGCAAGACCUCGCGCGAUUGGAGCGGCCGAUAUCAGAUUAGGUAGUUGGUGGGGUAAAGGCUCACCAAGCCAACGAUCUGUAGCUGGUCUGAGAGGACGACCAGCCACACUGGAACUGAGACACGGUCCAGACUCCUACGGGAGGCAGCAGUGGGGAAUUUUGGACAAUGGACGCAAGUCUGAUCCAGCCAUUCCGCGUGCAGGAUGAAGGCCCUCGGGUUGUAAACUGCUUUUGUACGGAACGAAAAGGUUUCCAUUAAUACUGGGGGCUCAUGACGGUACCGUAAGAAUAAGCACCGGCUAACUACGUGCCAGCAGCCGCGGUAAUACGUAGGGUGCAAGCGUUAAUCGGAAUUACUGGGCGUAAAGCGUGCGCAGGCGGUUAUGUAAGACAGAGGUGAAAUCCCCGGGCUCAACCUGGGAACUGCCUUUGUGACUGCAUAGCUAGAGUACGGUAGAGGGGGAUGGAAUUCCGCGUGUAGCAGUGAAAUGCGUAGAUAUGCGGAGGAACACCGAUGGCGAAGGC